CUUCUCUUGCAGCUCUCAUCCUGAGGGGAUUGCUAAGCAUUUAGCAGCUCUUAUAUUUCCAUUGGUAAUACUCACUGAACUGCCACAGCAGCUUAGUGUGCUCCCACACCUCCUGCAAUAAGUGCAUCCGAGGAGAUACAAGUGGUGGGAUGAGGUUAUUGAUGCUGGGCUUAGGGUGAGAUGGGAAAAUCAACGCCUGGGUGUGAAUGUUCUCAUGCAGGGUUUUGGGGUUUUUUGUGGUAAUCAGGAACAAAGAUCAUGGAUGAGUGCCAGACCCUGCUGUCCCUUACACUGAAAGCAACAAGAAAGGAGAACAUUGGAAAACUGGUCCCCAGAGCACAGCAGCUGUUGCACGCAUCCUAUUAAAGCAGGCCUGCAACUUUUUGUUCUAACAGCUGGACCAGGUCCUGAAAUCAUUAUCUCCCUGUGAUGUACCUGGAAACUUAAAGGAAGUGGCUUGGUCAAACUUGGACAGGAGUUUUUCGUUAGAGCCUGGAACUGAGUCACAAGCUAACAUCCCACACACUGAGAGGGGUGACUUCUCAGCCCAGAGCUGCCCAGCACUCUUGGAUCUGACUUGGAUACACUCAGGUGAAUCAGCUGAAAUGUCCAAGGAUUUCUGUUUGGACUUAGAUCCCCAGGCAUCUUUCUGCUCAGACAUGGAACAGUAUUGCACAUUCUGGACAGCACAGUCACCUUUCCCCCUAUGCUCAAAAAAGGGUCAGUAAGAUUAUUUGAUAGAUCAGCCUUAUAUUACAAUUAAUUUUUCAUCUAGAUUUUGACAAAAUCAACUUCAGAUAAUGUUUCUACAUGUGCAUAUGCACCUAUGAAAUAGAAUUAUAAAAUGGUUUGGGUUGGAAAAAGACCUUAAAGAUUUUGUGGUUCCAAACCCCUUUUUACAGGCAAGGACACUUGCCACUAGACCAGGGACCUCAAAACCCCAUCCAACCUGGCCUUGAACACUGCCAGGGAUGAGCUAUUCACCAUUAUCCCUGGGUAGCCUGUUCCUUUACCUCAUCACCACCACAGUAAAAAAUUUCUCCCUUACAUGUAAUUCAAACCCACCCUUUUCAAGUUUAAGGCCAUUCCCCGCCAUCCUAUCACUGCAUACUCUUGUAAGAAGUCCCUCUCCAGCUUUGCCCAUGAGUAA
Molecule: long non-coding RNA, 1150 nt
Organism: Passer domesticus (house sparrow)
Lineage: Eukaryota; Metazoa; Chordata; Aves; Passeriformes; Passeridae
Exons: 3
Source: RefSeq, a predicted model, not a curated record